RNAcentral lists this ribosomal RNA (253 nucleotides) under uncultured bacterium. RNAcentral describes it as "partial 16S ribosomal RNA". It matches the Rfam family "Bacterial small subunit ribosomal RNA", at positions 524 to 776 of the family's 1533-position model. The record is from RNAcentral.
UACGUAGGGGGCAAGCGUUGUCCGGAAUCAUUGGGCGUAAAGCGCGUGUAGGCGGCUCGGUAAGUCCGCUCUGAAAGCCCGGGGCUCAACCCCGGGAGGCGGGUGGAUACUGCUGAGCUCGAGUCCGGAAGAGGAGUGUGGAAUUCCUGGUGUAGCGGUGAAAUGCGCAGAUAUCAGGAGGAACACCAAUGGCGAAGGCAGCACUCUGGGACGGUACUGACGCUGAGGAGCGAAAGCGUGGGGAGCGAACAGG